CAGUAGCCGCGGUAAAACGAAGGGGGCUAGCGUUGUUCGGAAUUACUGGGCGUAAAGGGCGCGUAGGCGGCCAUUCAAGUUAGAUGUGAAAGCCCUGGGCUCAACCUAGGAAUUGCAUUUGAUACUGUUUGGCUUGAGUUCGGGAGAGGUGAGUGGAAUUCCCAGUGUAGAGGUGAAAUUCGUAGAUAUUGGGAAGAACACCAGUGGCGAAGGCGGCUUACUGGACCGACACUGACGCUGAGGCGCGAAAGCGUGGGGAGCAAACAGGAUUAGAGACCCGCGUAGUCCCUGUCUCUUAUAC
RNAcentral lists this ribosomal RNA (301 nucleotides) under uncultured bacterium. RNAcentral describes it as "partial 16S ribosomal RNA". It matches the Rfam family "Bacterial small subunit ribosomal RNA", at positions 509 to 807 of the family's 1533-position model. The record is from RNAcentral.